ACAGAACACUUUGGAAAAUGUGACCAUAGACGGUGAUAGUCCAGUAUGUGAAGCGAAAUGCAGCAUAGCGGUAUCCUGAGUAACGCGGGACACGAGGAAUCCUGCGCGAAUCUGCCGGGACCAUCCGGUAAGGCUAAAUACUCCCGUGAGACCGAUAGCGAACGAGUACUGUGAAGGAAAGGUGAAAAGAACCCCGGGAGGGGAGUGAAAUAGAACCUGAAACCCUGUACUUACAAACUGUGGAAGCACAUUUCUUGUGUGACCGCGUACUUUUUGUAGAACGGGCCAACGAGUUACGUUAUGCAGCAAGGUUAAGUACUUCAAGUAUGCAGCCGCAGCGAAAGCGAGUUUUAACUGAGCGUUUAGUUGCAUGACGUAGACCCGAAACCGGGUGACCUAUCCAUGNNCGAAAGUAAAAUUUCGUGGAGGACCGAACCCACGAGCGUUGAAAAGCUCGGGGAUGACUUGUGGAUAGCGGUGAAAUUCCAAUCGAACCCGGAGAUAGCUGGUUCUCCCCGAAAUAGCUUUAGGGCUAGCCUCAGAUUCAGAGAUACGG
Molecule: ribosomal RNA, 556 nt
Filed under: Acinetobacter baumannii
Lineage: Bacteria; Pseudomonadati; Pseudomonadota; Gammaproteobacteria; Moraxellales; Moraxellaceae
Description: partial 23S ribosomal RNA
Rfam family: Bacterial large subunit ribosomal RNA
Source: RNAcentral